AGCCAGAAGAACAAGCUGCAACUAGCGCUGGUGGCUCAGGGUCAGUAGCUGAUGCUGCACCAAGUGCGCAGACCUCUUCAACACCUGGGGUAUCAAAUGAUAGUUACCGCAACUACGGCGUUCUAGCUGGACUUGUUACUGGUGUUGGUGCUUUGGGUUGGUACAUGCUGUCAAAGGACAAGAAGACUGAAGAAGUACAGGAUUGAAGUAUUUCUUAAUAGGCAACGACUUGAAAAAAAUAAAGCAAACUCAUGUUUGGAAAACAGUAGCCUCGUCUCUUUUCCUUUUGUAUGGUUUUCCACCGGCUGGAUGUACAAAAUCUCUAGAGCAGAUGUAAAUUUUACAACUGCUGACUGGAUGAUGUUCUAUGUUUGUUGCUUUGGUUGCAAUUAUCACACAUCGGUUUAGAAAAGAAUUCUCUUGUUGAUAUGUCACCUUAAGAUGGAAAAUCUUAUUUUGUGUCUCAUCCAAUUGAUACUAGUUGUAUGAGGUUCCUUUUUGUCAAACACAUUUGUGGACCCAAAUUUUUGUGGAUCCAGAAGUGUAAGUUUGGGGUCUACAAAUUUAUAAGACAAAAAGAAGUCUCCUAGUCCACAAAUUUACAAGACAAAAAGAAGCCUCCUACAACUAAUGUAAGUUUGUAUGAGACACAAAAUAAAACUUCUCCCUUAAGAUGUAUUACCCCUCUUUACUACCACUGAAAGAAUGCGGUUCGAUAGCCUUCCCCAUCCAUCCCAAAGGUGACAGUUCCUUUUUUCUGUUACUUGCUUCUCACAGUUAUGCAUGUGAUUGGAUAUCUCAAUUUUCCUGACUCUAGUAUCUGUUGUCGUAUUUACCGUUUCUAUAUACAAAAUAUAAAGGAUUCCUAUCUGUGUCUAAAGAGUGCGUUCUGAUACAGGUGAGAUAACUGUUAUUCGUACAGUAAUUCAUAACAUACAAUCAGAUGGCAUAAUGCUCUUUGAUCUUGCAUCGAUUCUGAUAAAUAUCUUUCUUCUUGAUAGGCGUUUUUGGCUACAAUCUUUGUAGAUUUUUUCUGGUAUGGUAUCUUAAAGGAUUGAUGCUUAGCGUUUCCUUUCUUGCAACUUACAUGGAGAUUGGAGACUAGCAUUCAUUGUAAUCUUUGGUCUGAUUACAAUACCUGUCUAUGAUGUUGACUUUUGCGGA
RNAcentral lists this long non-coding RNA (1164 nucleotides) under Nicotiana benthamiana. Its description in RNAcentral is "long non-coding RNA (NBEN_LNC036667)". The record is from RNAcentral. Lineage: Eukaryota; Viridiplantae; Streptophyta; Magnoliopsida; Solanales; Solanaceae.